RNAcentral lists this ribosomal RNA (527 nucleotides) under Enterobacter cloacae subsp. cloacae. RNAcentral describes it as "partial 23S ribosomal RNA". It matches the Rfam family "Bacterial large subunit ribosomal RNA", at positions 611 to 1138 of the family's 2925-position model. The record is from RNAcentral. Lineage: Bacteria; Pseudomonadati; Pseudomonadota; Gammaproteobacteria; Enterobacterales; Enterobacteriaceae.
UAUAAUGGGUCAGCGACUUAUAUUCUGUAGCAAGGUUAACCGUAUAGGGGAGCCGAAGGGAAACCGAGUCUUAACUGGGCGUUAAGUUGCAGGGUAUAGACCCGAAACCCGGUGAUCUAGCCAUGGGCAGGUUGAAGGUUGGGUAACACUAACUGGAGGACCGAACCGACUAAUGUUGAAAAAUUAGCGGAUGACCUGUGGCUGGGGGUGAAAGGCCAAUCAAACCGGGAGAUAGCUGGUUCUCCCCGAAAGCUAUUUAGGUAGCGCCUCGUGAACUCAUCUUCGGGGGUAGAGCACUGUUUCGGCUAGGGGGCCAUCCCGGCUUACCAACCCGAUGCAAACUACGAAUACCGAAGAAUGUUAUCACGGGAGACACACGGCGGGUGCUAACGUCCGUCGUGAAGAGGGAAACAACCCAGACCGCCAGCUAAGGUCCCAAAGUCAUGGUUAAGUGGGAAACGAUGUGGGAAGGCCCAGACAGCCAGGAUGUUGGCUUAGAAGCAGCCAUCAUUUAAAGAAAGCGUAAU